RNAcentral lists this non-coding RNA (45 nucleotides) under Schistosoma mattheei. The record is from RNAcentral. Lineage: Eukaryota; Metazoa; Platyhelminthes; Trematoda; Strigeidida; Schistosomatidae.
AUCCAGCUGACGAGUCCUAAAUAGGGAAAAACGCGCGUCCUGGAU